GAUGAAGAACGCAGUGAAAUGCGAUAAGUAAUGUGAAUUGCAGAGUUCAGUGAAUCAUCGAAUCUUUGAACGCACAUUGCGCCCGCCAGCAUUCUGGCGGGCAUGCCUGUUCGAGCGUCAUUUCAACCCUCGACCUCCCUUUGGGGAAGUCGGCGUUGGGGACCGGCAGCACACCGCCGGCCCUGAAAUGGAGUGGCGGCCCGUCCGCGGCGACCUCUGCGUAGUAAUCCAACUCGCACCGGAACCCCGACGCGGCCACGCCGUAAAACACCCAACUUCUGAACGUUGACCUCGAAUCAGGUAGGACUACCCGCUGAACUUAAGCAUAUCAAUAAGCGGAGGA
RNAcentral lists this unclassified non-coding RNA (343 nucleotides) under soil metagenome. Its description in RNAcentral is "partial contains 5.8S ribosomal RNA, internal transcribed spacer 2, and large subunit ribosomal RNA". The stretch from base 1 to 120 matches the Rfam family "5.8S ribosomal RNA", at positions 35 to 154 of the family's 154-position model. The record is from RNAcentral.